UGGCGGCGCACAUAAGACAUGCAAGUCCAACGGAAGUCGUUAUAAAAAGGAUUGAAGAUUUAUCUGAUUGAGAUUUUAUAACAAUGGCUUUAGUGGCGGACUGGUGAGUAACGCGUGAGCAACCUGCCUACUAGAGGGGAAUAACAGUGAGAAAUCAUUGCUAAUACCGCAUAUGCCAUGAACAUCACAUGAUGAAAAUGGGAAAAGAGUAAUCUGCUAGUAGAUGGGCCCGCGUCUGAUUAGAUAGUUGGUGAGGUAACGGCUCACCAAGUCGCCGAUCGGUAGCCGGACUGAGAGGUUGAACGGCCACAUUGGGACUGAGACACGGCCCACACUCCUACGGGAGGCAGCAGUGGGGAAUAUUGCACAAUGGGCGAAAGCCUGAUGCAGCAACGCCGCGUGAGGGAAGACGGUUUUCGGAUUGUAAACCUCUGUUUUCUGUGACGAACAAAUGACGGAAACCGAGUAGGAAGCCACGGCUAACUACGUGCCAGCAACCGCGGUAAUACGUACGUGGCAAGCGUUAUCCGGAAUUACUGGGUGUAAAGGGAGCGCAUGCGGGAUAGCUCGUCAGCUGUGAAAACUAUGGACUCAACCCAUCAACUGCAGUUGAUACUGUUAUUCUUGAGUGGAGUAGAGGCAAGCGGAAUUCCGAGUGUAGCGGUGAAAUGCGUAGAUAUUCAGAAGAACACCAGUGGCGAAGGCGGCUUGCUGGGCUCUAACUGACGCUGAGGCUCGAAAGUGUGGGGAGCAAACAGGAUUAGAUACCCUGGUAGUCCACACUGUAAACGAUGAUUGCUAGGUGUGGGGGGUCUGACCCCCUCCGUGCCGGAGUUAACGCAAUAAGCAAUCCACCUGGGGAGUACGGCCGCAAGGUUGAAACUCAAAGGAAUUGACGGGGGCCCGCACAAGCAGUGGAGUAUGUGGUUUAAUUCGACGCAACGCGAAGAACCUUACCAAGGCUUGACAUAUACAGGAAUAACUAAGAAAUUAGUUAGCUCUUCGGAGUCUGUAUACAGGUGGUGCAUGGUUGUCGUCAGCUCGUGUCGUGAGAUGUUGGGUUAAGUCCCGCAACGAGCGCAACCCUUAUGGUCAGUUACUACGCAAGAGGACUCUGGCCAGACUGCCGUUGACAAAACGGAGGAAGGUGGGGAUGACGUCAAAUCAUCAUGCCCUUUAUGACUUGGGCUACACACGUACUACAAUGGCGUUAAACAAAGAGAAGCAAGACCGCGAGGUGGAGCAAAACUCAGAAACAACGUCCCAGUUCGGACUGCAGGCUGCAACUCGCCUGCACGAAGUCGGAAUUGCUAGUAAUCGUGGAUCAGCAUGCCACGGUGAAUACGUUCCCGGGCCUUGUACACACCGCCCGUCACACCAUGAGAGCCGGGGGGACCCGAAGUCGGUAGUCUAACCGCAAGGAGGACGCCGCCGAAGGUAAAACUGGUGAUUGGGGUG
RNAcentral lists this ribosomal RNA (1458 nucleotides) under uncultured organism. RNAcentral describes it as "SSU rRNA". It matches the Rfam family "Bacterial small subunit ribosomal RNA". The record is from RNAcentral.